This is a long non-coding RNA of Alosa sapidissima (American shad), 276 nucleotides long. RefSeq lists it as uncharacterized. The record is from RefSeq and is a predicted model, not a curated record. Lineage: Eukaryota; Metazoa; Chordata; Actinopteri; Clupeiformes; Clupeidae. The transcript has 3 exons.
UAGGAAAGUCAGAGCGACCUGCGUUUCCCGGCUACGCAAGGGAGCCAGGUGUGUCAGGAUGCCAGUCGAACCUGCGCUCAGACAUGGCUUUGGACAGCCCGGGUCAGGUGAACACACCUGGGAAGAGUCCCGCCCCCUUUUACCCCUUCACCGGCUCCAGCACACGAAGACGCUCACUGCAGGAAUCGCCCGCCAUGGAUCCUCUCCAAACAAAGAAAGUGCGCAAGGUUCCUCCUGGCCUUCCAUCAUCUGUGAGUGCAUUAUCACUUCAUCCGC